UUGUAGAGUGUCUUAGUCAAUACAAGAGAUUUGUUAACUCACCUUCAUGCAAGUACAAGCAUCUACAGCUUCUGGUGACCAAGGGCUUCAUGACCUCUUUGACAAUCCACCACAGCAUGCAAAAUCCAAUUGAUUGUCAGGUUCCUUUCAAGUGAGAGUUCUGAGUCAUUGAUCAGAUAAUACUUGCAGAGACAACAAAAGAUGGUGAAGACUGCAAAAUCCAAUUGAUUGUCAGGUUCCUUUCAAGUGAGAGUUCUGAGUCAUUGAUCAGAUAAUACUUGCAGAGACAACAAAAGAUGACGAAGACUAUAUAUCCCGAAUAGGUUUUAUGCUUGCAAGAUGGACCCCGAAUAGCUUUUAUACUUGCAAGAUGGACAAGUCU
This 382-nucleotide long non-coding RNA is filed under the name Musa acuminata (dwarf banana). Its description in RNAcentral is "long non-coding RNA (MACU_LNC001607)". Lineage: Eukaryota; Viridiplantae; Streptophyta; Magnoliopsida; Zingiberales; Musaceae. The record is from RNAcentral.